Molecule: ribosomal RNA, 447 nt
Filed under: uncultured bacterium
Lineage: Bacteria
Description: bacterial SSU rRNA
Rfam family: Bacterial small subunit ribosomal RNA
Source: RNAcentral
ACCAGACUCCUACGGGAGGCAGCAGUGGGGGAUAUUGCACAAUGGGGGGAACCCUGAUGCAGUGACGCCGCGUGGGUGAAGAAGUAUUUCGGUAUGUAAAGCCCUAUCGGCAGGGAAGAAAUUGGACGGUACCUGACUAAGAAGCCCUGGCUAACUACGUGCCAGCAGCCGCGGUAAUACGUAGGGGGCAAGCGUUAUCCGGAUUCACUGGGUGUAAAGGGAGCGUAGACGGCCAUGCAAGCCUGGAGUGAAAGCCCGGGGCCCAACCCCGGGACUGCUCUGGGAACUGUGCGGCUGGAGUGCGGGAGGGGCAGGCGGAAUUCCUGGUGUAGCGGUGAAAUGCGUAGAUAUCAGGAGGAACACCGGCGGCGAAGGCGGCCUGCUGGACCGCGACUGACGUUGAGGCUCGAAAGCGUGGGGAGCAAACAGGAUUAGAUACCCUGGUAU